RNAcentral lists this ribosomal RNA (571 nucleotides) under uncultured bacterium. RNAcentral describes it as "partial 16S ribosomal RNA". It matches the Rfam family "Bacterial small subunit ribosomal RNA", at positions 355 to 914 of the family's 1533-position model. The record is from RNAcentral.
UGGGGAAUAUUGCACAAUGGGCGCAAGCCUGAUGCAGCCAUGCCGCGUGUGUGAAGAAGGCCUUCGGGUUGUAAAGCACUUUCAGCGAGGAGGAAGGUGGUGAGCUUAAUACGCUCAUCAAUUGACGUUACUCGCAGAAGAAGCACCGGCUAACUCCGUGCCAGCAGCCGCGGUAAUACGGAGGGUGCAAGCGUUAAUCGGAAUUACUGGGCGUAAAGCGCACGCAGGCGGUUUGUUAAGUCAGAUGUGAAAUCCCCGGGCUCAACCUGGGAACUGCAUUUGAAACUGGCAAGCUAGAGUCUCGUAGAGGGGGGUAGAAUUCCAGGUGUAGCGGUGAAAUGCGUAGAGAUCUGGAGGAAUACCGGUGGCGAAGGCGGCCCCCUGGACGAAGACUGACGCUCAGGUGCGAAAGCGUGGGGCAGCAAACAGGAUUAGAUACCCCUGGUAGUCCAGCGCUGUAAACGAUGUCGAUUUGGAGGUUGUGCCCUUGAGGCGUGGCUUCCGGAGCUAACGCGUUAAAGUCGACCGCCUGGGGGAGUACGGCGCAAGGUUAAAACUCAAAGGAAUUGAC